This 461-nucleotide long non-coding RNA is filed under the name Anser brachyrhynchus (Pink-footed goose). RNAcentral describes it as "lncRNA (ENSABRG00000020172.1)". The record is from RNAcentral. Lineage: Eukaryota; Metazoa; Chordata; Aves; Anseriformes; Anatidae.
CUGGGAAUCUGACAGUCCUUUCCACGUGCAGGCACGCUCCUGUGGGACGGGAGGAUGCGUGGGCUGCCACCAGCCCCCGCGUUCAACUCUGAUGUGGAGAGCCGGGAAUCAAUCACUUUGAUGUCUUGUCUUAUCCCCACAGAUAGAUAAGGGGAGCGUGUGCAGUGGCUGCUGCAGCACCACUUCAGCAGGCCCUUUUGAAGUGCUGGAGCAGCGCUUUAGCAGCUGUUGUGAGAGCGGAAGAGCUGACACCGAUGCGGCUUUGGGACACGGCCACCAGGCGCAGCGGUGGCCAGAACAAAGAUAUCCUGAUCCACAGCUGGGACUCUCUCAAGCGCUGUAGGAACUCAGAUGAUGAAUAGAAGGAUAGUAAUUUAGAGCUCGCUGCUUCUAAGUUGUGCAGGGCUGAGGAUAAAAGUCAGCUUAGUUUCUUUCAAAAAACUGUGCUUCAUGCAUCAGAU